RNAcentral lists this ribosomal RNA (499 nucleotides) under uncultured bacterium. RNAcentral describes it as "partial 16S ribosomal RNA". It matches the Rfam family "Bacterial small subunit ribosomal RNA", at positions 29 to 523 of the family's 1533-position model. The record is from RNAcentral.
AUUGAACGCUGGCGGCAUGCCUUACACAUGCAAGUCGAACGGCAGCACGGGAGCAAUCCUGGUGGCGAGCGGCGAACGGGUGAGUAAAGUAUCGGAACGUGCCCAGUCGUGGGGGAUAACGUAGCGAAAGUUACGCUAAUACCGCAUACGAUCUAUGGAUGAAAGCGGGGGAUCGCAAGACCUCGCGCGAUUGGAGCGGACGAUAUCAGAUUAGGUAGUUGGUGGGGUAAAGGCUCACCAAGCCGACGAUCUGUAGCUGGGCCGAGAGGACGACAAGCCAAGCUGGGACUGAGAGACGGCCCAGACUCCGACGGGAGGCAGCAGUGGGAAAUUUUGGACAAUGGGCGAAGCCUGAUCCAGCCAUGCCGCGUGCAGGAUGAAGGCCUUCGGGUUGUAAACUGCUUUUGUACGGAACGAAAAGGUUUGACUUAAUACGUUGGACUCAUGACGGUACCGUAAGAAUAAGCACCGGCUAACUACGUGCCAGCAGCCGCCGUAA